UACGGGGGGAGCAAGCGUUGUUCGGAUUUACUGGGCGUAAAGGGCGCGUAGGCGGCGCAACAAGUCACUUGUGAAAUCUCCGGGCUUAACUCGGAGCGGCCAAGUGAUACUGUCGGGCUAGAGUGCGGAAGGGGCAACUGGAAUUCUCGGUGUAGCGGUGAAAUGCGUAGAUAUCGAGAGGAACACCUGCGGCGAAGGCGGGUUGCUGGGCCGACACUGACGCUGAGGCGCGAAAGCCAGGGGAGCGAACGGG
RNAcentral lists this ribosomal RNA (253 nucleotides) under uncultured bacterium. RNAcentral describes it as "partial 16S ribosomal RNA". It matches the Rfam family "Bacterial small subunit ribosomal RNA", at positions 524 to 776 of the family's 1533-position model. The record is from RNAcentral.